CCUACCUUUUAUUUAUCAACGUAUAGAAUUCAUUGGAUAUAUUCAAAUAGGCUUCCAUCCUAAUACAAAGGUGAUGCUUCAACAGAAAUCAGACAAGAAAAUAAGCCCACGGUUCAAAUAAACAUUUGGAUCCUAAUCUAAAACACCAAACAGCUAGCUUACUAACACAAGCUCAAGCCCAAAACGAACCCUAGCUAAGAGGGAUCUCUACUAAGGACAGAAGAUUUGGGCGCAGGGGAGGAUUGCGCCGCCAUCCUUUCCAGCUGAGCAACCGCCAGCAACAUGAGGAGCCAUAACCACCGUAGCACUGAAAGACCAUGCAAGGCCCCAGAGAUGGACAACAAAGCAAUUUGUCUAGCAUAGACAAAAAGGAUAAAAACAGAGCAUGAAUAAGCCAGAACCAUGGAUGGCUGGAGAAGGCAGGGGAUACGUGGCAUCGCUCUUGGCUCUUUCAAUCUCUUAUAGCCUUUAAGCAAUGCGAAAACCAUCACAUCGGCGACAGAAAUGUCCCCGAGAUACAAGCCUCUGAGAACGUUAAACCCAAGAAAACCAACAUACAAACCAAACUUGCAUAGCAGCCACAAAGGAGAACCAUCAAAAGACCCCAUUCAAGGAGGGGUACUAACUCUAAAUUUGGAGACUAGAGGAGCAAGACAACGAAAAAAAAAAAAGAGCAGGGG
RNAcentral lists this unclassified non-coding RNA (680 nucleotides) under Hevea brasiliensis (rubber tree). The record is from RNAcentral. Lineage: Eukaryota; Viridiplantae; Streptophyta; Magnoliopsida; Malpighiales; Euphorbiaceae.